CAAAUAGAAACCUCUUUUUAUGCAUUUUCAAUCAGUUAGUGGCCAAAUCUGCCUAUAAAAUGAUGUCAAAUAAAUUUAUAUUUAAGUUUUAAAAGAAACUGGUAAAUUCUUAAAGUUGCAUUUAAUAUUUAAUGUUGUAUAUAUUAUUAUAUAUAAUACGUUAAAUCAUUUCUAUUUAUGCAGUUUUAUUGCAGUUUUAUGCUUCUGAGAGUGAGCGUAGCCCUAAUGGAUUAUGCACUGGGAAAGACUCAGUAUGGUUAACCUCUGAUCUCUGAUUAAUUUGAAUUUCCUCAUUCCUUCUUGCUUCUGAAUCAGGAUCUAAUCAAGACUAAUCUGAGUCAGAGUAUUGUGCUCUGAAUUUGGGAAGCUCAGUGGAUCAGGAAAUUGGUCUUAGAAACCUUAUAGAAGAUAUUGUGCCUUACACAGCUGGCUUAUUCCAGGGCUGGAGAAAGGAGACAUUUGAUCAAGAUGACUACUCUGAAUAAAGAUGCAUGCUUGUGAUACUGGAGAAACUGGAUAGACAGACAAGGCUGGCACCAUCUUCCUCAGUUCAGGUGGAACAUACUGGAACAAAGAUAUCCAAAACAUUGAAGACUAAUAGGUAACUAAUUCCUCUCCACAAAAGCAACUUAGUACCAUUAGAGGUGAAAUAAAGGAAUGAGCUGCAAAAGAAGAGCAAUAACACUUGGAUAUUAGGUUAUCUGAUUAAGAGAAAUGUAACAAUUAAUAAACUUUGAAAAAAAAUAGGAGGAAAUUUGAAAUGCCUGGUGGGAAAGCAUUAAAGGAGAGAAGUGAAAUAAGCCAACUGAGGCAAGAAUUAUACAAGGAACUGCAUAAAUAGCCUUGUUUCUUCUUAAAUAACAAGUUUUGAAGACAGAGCUCUUUCAAAUAACUGUCUCUUUGCAACAUAAAUAUAAUGCUCACGAUAUUAAAUGUUGUUCCAAAGGAAACUACUACUACUACUUGUCUCACAUAUUUAGCCCUCGUGUAGGUUCGUGAAUGGAGUUUCAGAACAGAUUCAGGAAAUUUAAUAAAUGUAAUGAAAAAAAGAAAUGAAAAAAAAAAACCAAACCCAAAUGAACCC
Falco peregrinus (peregrine falcon) is the source of this 1084-nucleotide long non-coding RNA. RefSeq lists it as uncharacterized. The record is from RefSeq and is a predicted model, not a curated record. NCBI's taxonomy places the organism in Eukaryota, Metazoa, Chordata, Aves, Falconiformes, Falconidae. The transcript is spliced from 2 exons.